This 215-nucleotide long non-coding RNA is filed under the name Elaeis guineensis (African oil palm). Its description in RNAcentral is "long non-coding RNA (EGUI_LNC026367)". The record is from RNAcentral. Lineage: Eukaryota; Viridiplantae; Streptophyta; Magnoliopsida; Arecales; Arecaceae.
UCUUUUAGAUCUCGAAGAAGAGGAUUGCAGCACAAACCCUUUGCGUUGAUCUGACAUGAUCUGAAUAGGACACUAAGAAGAGAUGAAGAAAUCUUUUUCUUCUUUUCUUUCUCUCUCUCUCUAAACUCUCUCUAGAUCACAUCUAUGGAUGACGUGAGGCAUGGAGAUGGAAGAAGGGAAGGCAGAAGGGGGUCUGAUAAAGAAGUCAUGCGGCA